Molecule: ribosomal RNA, 229 nt
Filed under: uncultured bacterium
Lineage: Bacteria
Description: partial 16S ribosomal RNA
Rfam family: Bacterial small subunit ribosomal RNA
Source: RNAcentral
UACGUAGGCGGAAUAUUAAGUCAGUAGUGAAAUCCUGCAGCUUAACUGUAGAACUGUUAUUGAUACUGGUUUUCUUGAAUAUAGUUGAGGUAGGCGGAAUGUGUAAUGUAGCGGUGAAAUGCUUAGAUAUUACACAGAACACCGAUUGCGAAGGCAGCUUACUAAGCUAUGAUUGACGCUGAUGUACGAAAGCGUGGGGAGCGAACAGGAUUAGAUACCCUGGUAGUCC